CCUACGGGUGGCAGCAGUAGGGAAUAUUGCUCAAUGGGGGAAACCCUGAAGCAGCCACGUCGCGUGAAGGAUGAAGGUUUUAGGAUUGUUAACUUCUUUUGUUAGAGAAGAUAAUGACGGUAUCUGACGCAUUAGCACCGGCUAACUCCGUGCCAGCAGCGGCGGUAAUACGGAGGGUGCAAGCGUUACUCGGAAUCACUGGGCGUAAAGCGCGCGUAGGCGGGAUAGAAAGUCAGAUGUGAAAUCCUAUGGCUUAACCAUAGAACUGCAUUUGAAACUGUUAUUCUAGAGUAUGGGAGAGGUAGGUGGAAUUCGUGGUGUAGGGGUAAAAUCCGUAGAUAUCAAGAAGAAUACUCAUUGCGAAGGCGACCUGCUAGAACAUAACUGACGCUGAUGCGCGAAAGCGUGGGUAGCAAACAGGAUUAGAUACCCUGGUAGUC
RNAcentral lists this ribosomal RNA (440 nucleotides) under uncultured bacterium. RNAcentral's name for it is "partial 16S ribosomal RNA". It matches the Rfam family "Bacterial small subunit ribosomal RNA", at positions 338 to 795 of the family's 1533-position model. The record is from RNAcentral.